This 427-nucleotide ribosomal RNA is filed under the name uncultured Pantoea sp. RNAcentral's name for it is "bacterial SSU rRNA". It matches the Rfam family "Bacterial small subunit ribosomal RNA", at positions 355 to 774 of the family's 1533-position model. Lineage: Bacteria; Pseudomonadati; Pseudomonadota; Gammaproteobacteria; Enterobacterales; Erwiniaceae. The record is from RNAcentral.
UGGGGAAUAUUGCACAAUGGGCGCAAGCCUGAUGCAGCCAUGCCGCGUGUAUGAAGAAGGCCUUCGGGUUGUAAAGUACUUUCAGCGGGGAGGAAGGCGACGGGGUUAAUAACCCUGUUGAUUGACGUUACCCGCAGAAGAAGCACCGGCUAACUCCGUGCCAGCAGCCGCGGUAAUACGGAGGGUGCAAGCGUUAAUCGGAAUUACUGGGCGUAAAGCGCACGCAGGCGGUCUGUUAAGUCAGAUGUGAAAUCCCCGGGCUUAACCUGGGAACUGCAUUUGAAACUGGCAGGCUUGAGUCUUGUAGAGGGGGGUAGAAUUCCAGGUGUAGCGGUGAAAUGCGUAGAGAUCUGGAGGAAUACCGGUGGCGAAGGCGGCCCCCUGGACAAAGACUGACGCUCAGGUGCGAAAGCGUGGGGAGCAAACA